RNAcentral lists this ribosomal RNA (580 nucleotides) under uncultured bacterium. RNAcentral describes it as "partial 16S ribosomal RNA". It matches the Rfam family "Bacterial small subunit ribosomal RNA", at positions 355 to 1376 of the family's 1533-position model. The record is from RNAcentral.
UGAGGAAUAUUGGUCAAUGGGCGAGAGCCUGAACCAGCCAAAUCGCGUGAAGGAAGACUGCCUUAUGGGUUGUAAACUUCUUUUAUACAGGAAUAAAAAACGGGGACGUGUCCCUUAUUGCAUGUACUGUAUGAAUAAGCAUCGGCUAACUCCGUGCCAGCAGCCGCGGUAAUACGGAGGAUGCGAGCGUUAUCCGGAUUUAUUGGGUUUAAAGGGUGCGCAGGCGGGCUUUUAAGUCAGCGGUGAAAUCUCGGGGCUUAACUCCGAAACUGCCGUUGAAACUGGGAGUCUUGAGUAUGGAUGAAGUAGGCGGAAUUCGUUGUGUAGCGGUGGCAUGCUUAGAUAUAACGAGGAACUCCGAUUGCGUAGGCAGCUUACUAAGCCAUAACUGACGCUCAAGCACGAAAGCGUGGGGAUCAAACAGGAUUAGAUACCCUGGUAGUCCACGCCGUAAACGAUGAUUACUAGUUGUAUGCGAUAUACCGUAUGUGACUAAGCGAAAGCGAUAAGUAAUCCACCUGGGGAGUACGCCGGCAACGGUGAAACUUAAAUGAAUUGACGGGGUCAUAGCUGUUUCCUG